This is a long non-coding RNA of Leptopilina heterotoma, 432 nucleotides long. RefSeq lists it as uncharacterized. The record is from RefSeq and is a predicted model, not a curated record. Lineage: Eukaryota; Metazoa; Arthropoda; Insecta; Hymenoptera; Figitidae. The transcript has 2 exons.
UCUCUCUUCGCGCGGCGUGAUUGUCAAAAGCAGAAAAAAGAAAAGAAAAAACAUCUCGGAGUGUUGUUGAGAAUAAAAAAAAUUAUUUUGGUUUCUUGUCAGGAAAAAAAAGCCGCUCUCAAGAUUCAAAAAAUAUUGGAUAAAAAGAAGGUGGAUACUAUAUAAAAAGGAGGAUCGUUAAGGAGGACUCAAGAACCAAUCGACAUGGGUCAUUAGGAUUUUUUUCGGACAUAAUAUACAAAAAGAAAAAAGUGGUCAAGUUCAGCCUACUACAUUUUUUGGCUUCAAGCUGAAUUAUAAUCCAAUUAAUAUUGUAUAUGUUAUCACUGCGAAAAUUUUGGAGUUUUUGAAAUAAAAUUUUUAAAUAAGAAUAUUUAGGAUAUUUAAAAUAAAAUUUUUAAAUAAAAAUAUUUAGAAUAUUUAAAAUAAAAA